CACCAGGGUAACACCUGUAAGCAGCUCUGGUUCCCUGCGGCCUCCUGAAGCAGCCUCUGGGCCAGUAGGAGCCCAGAGUGAGGAGCAAGGCUGUUCUGGGAGGCCGUAGCCCCUGACACCCCUGGGUCAUUUCUGGGGAACAGCUUCUGCUCUGGGGUCUGCUGGUCCACUUGGAGUUUAUGGAAAGGGUGGCCUUGCAGGCGAGUUUUGGACACCCUGCCCAUCAUGACAGAUUCUAUCUCUAGAAGCAGCUGUUGCCAUGGGCCAGGUCCAUGAGGCACUAACCACAGCAACAUGGCACUCAAAGCCACAGAGUGCUCAGGCUAGAGUCUAGGCCUGGCCAUGCCUGCCCACCCCCACAUACUGGCCGCCACUGACCCCCCUCCUUGGCCAGGCGCACGCACAAUCCCUCGUGAAGCUGAACAUUCUGUGAGGGUGAGAGCCAUCAACAUAAAACCAGCCAAUAAAUAGAACUUGUGAUUUUUUUUUUCUGAGCCAAAUGGAAGAAGAAAAAUACACCAAAGUGGCUAGUCACCUAUUAGCCCUGAUUUAUACACUACUUUAAUAUCUCAUCCAAGGAAAUGAAAGGCAUAUUUUCAUCAAAUACAAUCGUUUAUAGCUUCUAAAGGGGAGACAAACUGCUCUAUGACAAUUACCUGGGCCCGCAGAUAAAAUCGGAAGAUGUGUCCUAAUAAAACACCCUUGUCUGGCAGCCACCCCGAGGCAGCAGCCAGAGUUGUUUUCUUCCUUGUGAAUUAUUAUCUAGGCAGAAGCAAGGACUCCAUGCGCUGUGCGGCCUAUGGGGAGGGGCACCAUUGUGGAGGGUGGGAAGUGGUCACGCCCCAGCACCCACGGGCCCUUGAUGGCAAUGGUGACAUGUCACAGUAUCAGAGGCCAACCUGGGCCAGGUUUCUGAUGACCGAAUCUCCCUCCACUGCCCGGCUCCCCGUGUCACUACUCUGUGGCUUCUGUAAAACUCUGAGUAGGAGGAGGGUGGUGAAAUUCAGUUGAUAUGCAACCAACCUAAAUCUGUCACCUGGGUACAUGGUCCUUGGACACACAUCUUGCUCGCUUGGUGACAGAAAUUUAGCCGAGGGAUGCUGCUUAAGGUCUUCUCGGUUCUCAGUUCCUUUGUGUUCCCUUGUCAAAGUUCCAUGGACUAAACCACCAAGUAUCUAGGGCCCCAGAGGGACUUUCCUUGUCUUCCCGUGUUCAGAGAAGGGAGAAGGCCUUUGAUGGGCUCUGUUCCAAGGCUGAGCAGAUAACAAAUGCAGGCUCAUUCUUCACUCAACGAUACUAAGUGGGGGCACAGAGCUAGGCGCUGAGAUGCAGGGUAAACAGCACAGAAGGUUCCCACGCAGGCAACCCUCUCUGCAGGGGAGAAAGACUAUGACCAGGCACACAAAGGCAUCAGCCAGGGGUGUACUGAGGAGUUUUCCAGAGGCCACAGAAUGCAUGCUAUCACAACAGACAGAAAACAGAAGCAAAGAGGAGAAUCCAGAUGUCUUCUAUUAAGCCAGGCAUUAAAGAGACUUGCAGAAAUGUG
RNAcentral lists this long non-coding RNA (1546 nucleotides) under Homo sapiens (human). RNAcentral describes it as "HSALNT0384516". Lineage: Eukaryota; Metazoa; Chordata; Mammalia; Primates; Hominidae. The record is from RNAcentral.